This 966-nucleotide ribosomal RNA is filed under the name uncultured eukaryote. RNAcentral describes it as "SSU rRNA". It matches the Rfam family "Eukaryotic small subunit ribosomal RNA", at positions 707 to 1697 of the family's 1831-position model. The record is from RNAcentral.
AGGUUUCUGGGUGCUCUAAUCGAGUGUCUAGGGAUGCUAGCGGGUUUACUUUGAAAAAAUUAGAGUGCUCAAGCAGGCUAUUACGCUUGAAUAUUCGUGCAUGGAAUAAUAGAAUAGGAAGUUGUUUCUAUUUUGUUGGUUUUCGGAAAUCGACUUAAUGAUUAAUAGGGACAGUCGGGGGCAUUUGUAUUCAAACGACAGAGGUGAAAUUCUUGGACCGUUUGAAGACAAGCUACUGCGAAAGCAUUUGCCAAGAAUGUUUUCAUUAAUCAAGAACGAAAGUUAGAGGUUCGAAGGCGAUUAGAUACCGCCCUAGUUCUAACCAUAAACGAUGCCAGCUAGCGAUCUGAGGACGUUUUUUUUGUAGACUCCUCAGGAAGCUUCCGGGAAACCAAAGCGUGUGGGUUCCGGGGGAAGUAUGGUUGCAAAGCUGAAACUUAAAGGAAUUGACGGAAGGGCACCACCAGGAGUGGAGCCUGCGGCUUAAUUUGACUCAACACGGGAAAUCUCACCAGGCCCGGACACUGGAAGGAUUGACAGAUUGAGAGCUCUUUCUCGAUUCGGUGGGUGGUGGUGCAUGGCCGUUCUUAGUUGGUGGAGUGAUUUGUCUGGUUAAUUCCGAUAACGAACGAGACUCUGUCCUGCUAAAUAGUGUCAGCCUCUCUUUUGGGCUGACAAUUCUUCUUAGAGGGACUGGCGGCUCCUAGCCGCACGAGAUAGAGCAAUAACAGGUCUGUGAUGCCCUUAGAUGUUCUGGGCCACACGCGCGCUACACUGAAUAGAUCAGCGUGUUCUCCCUUUCUGAGAAGAACGGGUAAACCGCUGAACCCUAUUCGUGGUAGGGAUCGGGGCUUGCAAUUAUUCCCCGUGAACCAGGAAUUCCCAGUAGGCGCGAGUCAUAAGCUCGCGUCGAUUACGUCCCUGCCCUUUGUACACACCGCCCGUCGCUACUACCGAUUGAAUGGC